RNAcentral lists this ribosomal RNA (428 nucleotides) under uncultured bacterium. RNAcentral's name for it is "bacterial SSU rRNA". It matches the Rfam family "Bacterial small subunit ribosomal RNA", at positions 355 to 775 of the family's 1533-position model. The record is from RNAcentral.
UGGGGAAUAUUGGACAAUGGGGGCAACCCUGAUCCAGCGAUGCCGCGUGAGUGAAGAAGGCCUUCGGGUCGUAAAGCUCUUUAGGUUGGGAAGAAGAAUACAUACGGAUAAUGUAUGUAUUUUGACGGUACCGACAGAAUAAGCACCGGCAAACUCUGUGCCAGCAGCCGCGGUAAUACAGAGGGUGCGAGCGUUAAUCGGAUUUACUGGGCGUAAAGGGCGCGUAGGCGGUGAGACAUGUGUGAUGUGAAAGCCCCGGGCUUAACCUGGGAAGUGCAUCGCAAACUGUUUGACUGGAGUAUAUGAGAGGGUGGCGGAAUUUCCGGUGUAGCGGUGAAAUGCGUAGAGAUCGGAAGGAACGUCAAUGGCGAAGGCAGCCACCUGGCAUAAUACUGACGCUGAGGCGCGAAAGCGUGGGGAGCGAACAG